RNAcentral lists this ribosomal RNA (468 nucleotides) under uncultured bacterium. RNAcentral's name for it is "partial 16S ribosomal RNA". It matches the Rfam family "Bacterial small subunit ribosomal RNA", at positions 28 to 507 of the family's 1533-position model. The record is from RNAcentral.
AACGAACGCUGGCGGCGUGCUUAACCCAUGCAAGUCGAACGGAAAGGCCCUGCUUUUGUGGGGUGCUCGAGUGGCGAACGGGUGAGUAACACGUGCGUAACCUGCCCUUGACUUUGGGAUAACUUCAGGAAACUGGGGCUCAUACCGGCUAGGAGCUCCUGCUGCAUGGUGGGGGUUGGAAAGUUUCGGCGGUUGGGGAUGGACUCGCGGCUUAUCAGCUUGUUGGUGGGGUAGUGGCUUACCAAGGCUUUGACGGGUAGCCGGCCUGAGAGGGUGACCGGCCACAUUGGGACUGAGAUACGGCCCAGACUCCUACGGGAGGCAGCAGUGGGGAAUAUUGCACAAUGGGCGGAAGCCUGAUGCAGCAACGCCGCGUGCGGGAUGACGGCCGUCGGGUUGUAAACCGCUUUCGCCUGUGACGAAGCGUGAGUGACGGUAAUGGGUAAAGAAGCACCGGCUAACUACGUG